Long non-coding RNA from Hyla sarda, 490 nucleotides. RefSeq lists it as uncharacterized. The transcript is spliced from 3 exons. The record is from RefSeq and is a predicted model, not a curated record. NCBI's taxonomy places the organism in Eukaryota, Metazoa, Chordata, Amphibia, Anura, Hylidae.
ACAUUUCCCCAGUAAAUAAACCACAUGUAGGGAAGCGGUAACGCGAGAUAGUACUCCGCGGUAGCUACAUACUUACUGGAACACUAUGUCUGCAGGACGCCGAAAUAAAGCGACCACUCUCUUCCGUAGUCUGUAAGAAAUAAUGUCAUCUCCAGAAAAUGGUUCUUCUGAACAGGAGUCCACUAGGAGGAAUCCUUCCUCCAAAUGGAAACACUUGGAUUGUUAUGAAUGUCUUAUGCCCCUGGAAGGGUGGAUAAACCAACAUGCAGGAUAUAUUUAUAUGGGUGAAAGAUUUUGUCCAGAGUUCAGUUUCCCAGCUGGAUAGGUCCAGAAAUGGAUUAGACACCAUUCUCCUUUUAGGCCUAUGGAGGUUCCCAUUCAGCAUCCUCUUCGGACAAAGAAGCUUGUAAGGCAAACUGUUAGGCAGCUACUGACAGUUAUGCUAUGCUGUAGUGCAUAUAUCAUUUAACAGGAUCGCCGUCGCAAGCAG